RNAcentral lists this ribosomal RNA (301 nucleotides) under Escherichia coli. RNAcentral's name for it is "partial 23S ribosomal RNA". It matches the Rfam family "Bacterial large subunit ribosomal RNA", at positions 2048 to 2348 of the family's 2925-position model. Lineage: Bacteria; Pseudomonadati; Pseudomonadota; Gammaproteobacteria; Enterobacterales; Enterobacteriaceae. The record is from RNAcentral.
UCGCUGUGAAGAUGCAGUGUACCCGCGGCAAGACGGAAAGACCCCGUGAACCUUUACUAUAGCUUGACACUGAACAUUGAGCCUUGAUGUGUAGGAUAGGUGGGAGGCUUGGAAGUGUGGACGCCAGUCUGCAUGGAGCCGACCUUGAAAUACCACCCUUUAAUGUUUGAUGUUCUAACGUUGACCCGUAAUCCGGGUUGCGGACAGUGUCUGGUGGGUAGUUUGACUGGGGCGGUCUCCUCCUAAAGAGUAACGGAGGAGCACGAAGGUUGGCUAAUCCUGGUCGGACAUCAGGAGGUUA